GACGAACGCUAGCGGCGUGCCUAAUACAUGCAAGUAGAACGCUGAAGAGAGGAGCUUGCUCUUCUUGGAUGAGUUGCGAACGGGUGAGUAACGCGUAGGUAACCUGCCUGGUAGCGGGGGAUAACUAUUGGAAACGAUAGCUAAUACCGCAUAAAAUUGAUUAUUGCAUGAUAAUUAAUUGAAAGAUGCAACUGCAUCACUACCAGAUGGACCUGCGUUGUAUUAGCUAGUUGGUGAGGUAACGGCUCACCAAGGCGACGAUACAUAGCCGACCUGAGAGGGUGAUCGGCCACACUGGGACUGAGACACGGCCCAGACUCCUACGGGAGGCAGCAGUAGGGAAUCUUCGGCAAUGGGGGGAACCCUGACCGAGCAACGCCGCGUGAGUGAAGAAGGUUUUCGGAUCGUAAAGCUCUGUUGUAAGAGAAGAACGGGUGUGAGAGUGGAAAGUUCACACUGUGACGGUAUCUUACCAGAAAGGGACGGCUAACUACGUG
RNAcentral lists this ribosomal RNA (497 nucleotides) under uncultured bacterium. Its description in RNAcentral is "partial 16S ribosomal RNA". It matches the Rfam family "Bacterial small subunit ribosomal RNA", at positions 28 to 507 of the family's 1533-position model. The record is from RNAcentral.